CCUACGGGAGGCAGCAGUGGGGAAUAUUGCGCAAUGGGCGAAAGCCUGACGCAGCGACGCCGCGUGAGGGAUGAAGGUCUUCGGAUCGUAAACCUCUGUCAGCAGGGAAGAACGGUCACUGUGGUAAUCAGCAGUGAAUUGACGGUACCUGCAAAGGAAGCACCGGCUAACUCCGUGCCAGCCGCCGCGGUAAUACGGAGGGUGCGAGCGUUAAUCGGAAUUACUGGGCGUAAAGCGCUCGUAGGCGGUAUGUCAAGUCAAGGGUGAAAUCCCCGCGCUCAACGUGGGAACUGCCUUUGAAACUGGCAAACUGGAGUGUGUGAGAGGAUAGUGGAAUUCCAGGUGUAGGAGUGAAAUCCGGAGAUAUCUGGAUGAACAUCAGUGGCGAAGGCGACUAUCUGGCACAUAACUGACGCUGAGGAGCGAAAGCGUGGGUAGCAAACAGGAUUAGAUACCCCGGUAGUC
RNAcentral lists this ribosomal RNA (465 nucleotides) under uncultured bacterium. RNAcentral's name for it is "partial 16S ribosomal RNA". It matches the Rfam family "Bacterial small subunit ribosomal RNA", at positions 338 to 795 of the family's 1533-position model. The record is from RNAcentral.